Molecule: long non-coding RNA, 18363 nt
Filed under: Brassica napus (rape)
Lineage: Eukaryota; Viridiplantae; Streptophyta; Magnoliopsida; Brassicales; Brassicaceae
Description: long non-coding RNA (BNAP_LNC025646)
Source: RNAcentral
CUACCAUGCAUAUACGGAGCUGGUCAAUGGGCAGCCUCGCAAGGACUGUCAAACUAGUUGUGGCAAGGUCACAAUCGAGUACCCUUUUGGCACUUCUCCAGAUUGUUACUAUGCCGACGAUCCUAGUUUCAAUAUCACCUGUAACGAGAGAGAAGAGUUGAUCUUUGGUGGUAACAAAGUAAUCAACAUUUCUCACACGGAGCUACGCGUCUGGAAUGAUAUUUCUUACGCUUGCUACGAUAGCGGAGGAAAUGUGACUGAUGGGGUUUCCUACAGUUACUCGCUUGCUAACUUAUCUCUCUCCCGCAACAACAAGUUUACUUUAGUUGGCUAUAACGCUUUUGCACUUCUGAGCACUACUGGAGCGCGAGAUUACUCAACUGGAUGCUUGUCAGCAUGUGACUCUCCACCGGCGGGAAAUGGGGACUGUAAUGGUGAAGGUUGCUGCAGGACCGAUGUCUAUGUCCCUUUGGAUAGCAUUGGAUUCGAAACUCGCCCAUCUAGCUAUGGGAACAUGACUGUUAUGCAUGACUUUAAUCCUUGCAAAUACGCCUUUCUAGCCGAAAAUGGUACUUUUCACUUUAAUGCUUCGGAAGAUCUUAAGAACCUAAGAAAUGUCAAAGAGUUCCCUGUGUUACUGGAUUGGUCUAUUGGAAACCAGAGAUGCGAUCAAGUUGGAAACAGAAGCAUAUGCGGUAUGAAUAACAGCAUAUGUGUCAAUUCUACUCGUGGAACCGGGUAUAACUGCAAAUGUUUAGAAGGUUUUGAGGGGAAUCCUUACCUUUCAAAUGAAAAGGGUUGCCAAGGUACACUUCACGUUAAUUUAUUUUUUCUUUCUAUCGUCUUUCAACGGUUUAGUCGUACAUUUCUUGUUUCAUCCAACGGAUUAUUUACCUGUGUCAGACAUCAAUGAAUGUAAAAGUACUAUCCAUAAACAUAACUGCUCGGAUCCCAGCACCUGUAGAAACAAGGAUGGAGGCUUCUAUUGUAAGUGCCGAUCUGGUUACCGCUUAGAUACAAACACUAUGAGUUGCAAGCGUAAAGACUUUGGAUGGGCUACAAUUCUUCUUGGUAAGCUUCCCUCAUUUCUUUUCUGGACUUGUAGUUUCCAAGAUGUUAUCAUCUCUAUGUGUAUAUGAUCUCCUAAUGUUUAUAACCAGGCCUGGGCAAAAAAAAUUAAACCGAAAACCUUAACAAAAUUUACUGAAAUAACCGAAGCCAAAACCGGAUCAAAAUUUUUAAAUACCCAAAUGAUUCUUAUAUUUCUAUAUCUGAAAUAACCAAACCGAACUAGCAAGAACCAAACAAGACUCGAAUAUAUAAAUAUAUUAAUUAUAUAUACAAAUAACAUGACCAAAUAUAUAUAUAGUUUCAAAAUCUAUUAAAAGUGUAAGAAAGUAUUUGAAAAGCUUAAUUAUCAAAAAGCAUUGUAUCUAAACUUGUAUCUGAAAUUAUCUGAAAGUAUCAUAUAUUUUUAUCCAAAAUAAUCUGAAUUAUCUGAAGAUUUUUAUUCAAACAUCUAAUUAGACCAUACAUAUCCAAUAUAUUACUUGAACUAUCCAAAUUAACUGAAACUACCGAAUCGGAAUUGGAACCAAACAUGAACCCAAUUUUUACGUAUUAGAGUGCUCCUAAUUUAUUAUCCGAACCAAAAAUUUUCCGUUCCUAUAGGAACUACCCCAUAUACUUGACCCUAACUGGUAUCUGAAAUGCCCAAGCCGUUCCUAUUUAUAACUUUGGGGUCGUCCUGAACUUAAAAAGCCAUGUCUAUAGCUCCCCUCGCUAUUUCCUGAUUCUUUCUUUUACUGUGUGAUGUGAUCAGGAACAACCAUUGGGUUCUUGUCCAUCCUGCUUCUCAUUAGCUGCGUACAACAGAAAAUGAAGCACCGGAAGACAGCUGAGCUCCGACAAAAAUUCUUUGAACAAAAUGGUGGCGGCAUGUUAAUACAGAGACUCUCAGGACCAGGGACAUCUAAUGCUAAUGUAAAAAUCUUUACCGAAGAAGGCAUGAAGACAUCAACCAAUGGUUAUGACAAGAGCAGAAUCCUGGGCCAGGGAGGCCAAGGAACAGUCUACAAAGGGAUAUUACCUGACAACUCCAUAGUCGCAAUAAAGAAAGCUCGGCUUGGAGACAACAGCCAAGUAGAGCAGUUCAUCAACGAAGUGCUAGUGCUUUCCCAAAUCAACCACAGGAACGUGGUCAAGCUCCUAGGAUGUUGUCUGGAGACAGAAGUUCCCUUGCUGGUCUAUGAGUUCAUUAACAGCGGCACCCUUUUCGAUCACUUGCAUGGUUCCUUGUUUGGUCCUUCUCUAACAUGGGAACAACGCCUGAGAAUAGCAGUGGAAAUUGCUGGAACUCUUGCUUAUCUUCACUCAUCUGCUUCUAUUCCAAUCAUCCACCGAGACGUCAAGACUGCUAAUAUUCUCCUGGAUGAGAACUUAACUGCAAAGGUAGCUGACUUUGGUGCUUCAAGGCUGAUUCCAAUGGACAAGGAGCAGCUCACAACCAUGGUGCAAGGAACUCUAGGCUACUUAGAUCCAGAAUACUACAACACAGGGUUGUUGAAUGAAAAGAGUGAUGUCUAUAGCUUUGGGGUAGUCCUUAUGGAACUGCUCUCAGGCCAAAAGGCAUUGUGCUUCGAAAGGCCACUGCAGUCAAAACAUCUGGUGCAUUACAUUGCUUCUGCCAUGAAAGAGAAUAGGUUCCACGAGGUUAUUGACGAGAAAGUAAUCAACGAGAAUAACUGGAAGGAGAUAGAGGAAGCUGUCAGAGUUGCUAUGGAGUGUACAAGAAUGACGGGAGAGGAAAGGCCAUUGAUGACGGAAGUAGCUGCAAAGCUUGAGGGCUUGAGAGUCACGAAAAGCAAACAUCAGUGGUCGGAUCAGUAUCCUGGGGACGAGACUGAGAACUUGGUCGGUGUUGGAGUCUUAUCAGCGCAAGGCGAUACAAGUAGCACUGGCUAUGAUAGCAUCAAGAAUGUAGCAAGCAUGCACAUGGAAGCUGGUCGCUGAGAUAUAUUAGUCAAGGCUCUGUCAAAAUCAUGUCUAACUCUUUUUUUUUAAUGAAAAGAUAAUAUCAUUUCUAUAUAGUUUCUCACCUCUUUUGGCUCACUUAAACAGUUUAAAACUAGAGUAUCAAGACAAUAAUGAAGAACAUGUAUGCAUUGAGAUAUUCUUACUAGACAGACCAUCAGUACUUAUUUUACAGUGUCUAAGUUUAGAUUCCAAUAAACUCAACUCCUGGACUUUUGUGUCUAUUCAUACAUCUCUAUAGCUUUGAGUGAGUGCUACUAAGGAUCUGAAUAUUAGGCUCUAGAGAAAACAAUAAGUUACUAUUUUGGUUGAUUUGCCUCAAAAGUAUCUCAACUCAUCACCUCCUUUCUUCACGUUGCCCCUGGUCUUAGACCUGGGCUUCUGGAAAACUGGAUUUGCAAACUCUUGGAAUCAGGAUCCUCUUCAUCCAUUCGAUAGCCUGUCAAAUGCACAGUGGAAUCAGUUAAUUAUGAGGUCGAGUGUCUUUCUUAAGGAAACCACAGCAUGUUGAAUGAAGAUAAAGAGUAUAUUACAAGAAACAAUGCACCAUAAACUCAAUAUGUAUAAAACCUCAUAAUUCCAAAUAUUUAGGAAACAGAGAGAAUCUUAGUUACCUUGCAGGGCAUUUGAGUCUCGAAGCUCUAUUUUCUUGAAGGAGACUCAUGUGCUGAUUGGCCAUCACAGCUCCAUUGUCUGGUCGCUUGGUCACCAAUGGAGGGCUGAUCGAUCUCUAUAUUGUAGGUUUGGGCGAGCGGCUCAGGAUGUGACUAUCAUCGCUCCCUGUCUUCUUGCAUCUGCUCGCACUAUGUUCUGGAGCCAAGCAUAAGUGUGACUUUGGUGGUCCUGGAACGUCAAGCCAGAUUGGCGCUCUAGUGUGCUUGAUACAAGUAGAGGUUCUUAGCUCGGGUCUCAAGCUCCUUUACCAGUGGUAGUUGGCGGCUUGAUUCCUUCAGCCGGUCUAUGCAAAGCUGUGUGUGGUCGGUGUCAAUCUUUUGGAGUAGCGUUAUGGGCAAGCCGAUUUCUACCGAGCGUGGUCUCAUAUUUUAUCAAAAGCUCUGAACCCAUUCGGCAAUGCUGUAGUAUCUUUUGUGCUUGUGUUUAAAUGUUAAUGUUAUGUCUUCUGAUCUUCCAAUGUUGUUUCUUCUUUCUUCUUGGUGUUUAGGUUUUUGGUCUUUUUUGCUCCUAGUAUUUUUUGUAACUGCUAUCAAAAACUUAAAACUUUGAUAUAAAAUUUAACAUUUACAUCAAAAAAAAAAAAAUCAUGCACGACUCAAGUAGAAUAAAAAUAAGGUCGUCUUGACUUAUUAUGUCAAUUAUGUAACUCCCAUAUACUAGAGUUAGAAUUAAAGAAUUAUUACUUUGACCCGCGCGUGUGUUUAUUUUAUUUCUUAUAAAUGAAUAUUUAUUUGUAAAAGUAAUAGUAUAUAGUUUUAUAAUUUACAUGUAUUGAAUAAUUAUUAAUAUGACAUUUCUAAAUACAAUAAUUUAUCCUUUAUAUCGAGUAAUUCUUUUUUUUUUUGCAAACCGUCAAUUGUAUUAUACACAUUUUUAUGGAUCAAAAUUUAUAAUAAUGCAUAUUAGAAUUGUUUUGUAUACUAUUUAAAAUCUUGUGCUAUAUAUUUUAUACUCUUCAACAUUUAUCAAUUUACAUUUUGCUAUUAAUUUAUAUUUUAUUUAUAUAUCAUACGAUACUAAAAGUGAGAUAUAAUCCAUGGGGAGGUGUCCACGUCCUCAAAAAAAAAAUCUACCAAUCAGGGACAAGUAUUUUAACACGUCAUACAACUACAGAGAGAAUCAUACUAUACGAAGCAUCAAUCGGGUUCCACUUCGUCUUCACCAUCUAGGUUCUUCGUGAUGUCCGUUACGGUGAACUCAAUCAAUGGUGCUCUUUGAUUCCUUCUUAAUAGUUUCGUUCCACCUCCCUCUUUUUAUCCUCAUAGAUAUAUAUAUAUAUCGAUUGCUCAACAUCUUCGUCUAAACUUACUUGCAAGCAAACCCGAAAACCUCCAGUGAAGAAUUGAAAGCUCUGGCAAUAAAAUCCAAUCAAAAGUCUCAUGUCUCCACCGGCAAGUCUCUGUCGCUUUGUAUUUCAAGGAUAUCUCACCAUGUCCACCAGAAUACGAAUUAGGAUUUCGAAUCUAAAGUUAAGGCGAUGAUCAAUUUCUUUUUUUCUUCAAUGGUGUUGAUAACCCAAUCAAAGGGCGUCGCCUUUUAGUUUUGAUAUUGAUUCAUUUGAUCCAGUCUUACGGGUUCUUACAAUUUUUUGUUUUGUUUCGAUUAGGUUGAAGUGCGGUAGCGAUUGCUGUAAGGUGUGAAGAUAAGAUGGCUCUCUGAAUGAAAACAUGAAGAAGUGUCAAGUGGUAAGCUCCAGAAAGAAGACAAAAAGGUAUACACUUUUGGAUCAUCUUGUGCCUUUACAUGUUGGCUUUACUCAAGAAAAAGAGACUGUAAGUAUUGUAUAUAUAAAAUAACUUACGAACUUUGAACGUAUUGAACUUAGAAUAAAUACUUUCGCCUCUUAAGUUUUGAAUAAAUACUGGUUCUGAAAAGGAUUAAGAUUUGUCUAUCAACUGCAUCAGAUUUUGUACCCUUUUUACUUUUCUAAAAGCUAAGCCCAGCUCAGAAGGAUGGAAUCAUCGAGUGGAGGAAGAUGAGUGUCUUUCAGAGAAUGAGUGGGGGUUCGUGGGCUGUUCCAAGUUUCCAAAUAGUAAGCUGUAAGCAUAAACUCUUAAACUGCAAAGCGCUUUGGAUGGGGAAGGCCAUCUCUACGUACAAAGGAUUCAGGAGAGGUGUGUUUAAAGUCAUCUUAUUUUUCACACUUUUUAGUUUGCUAUGUUGACUUUCCAUAUCUAUGUAGCAGAUUGGUAGAAUACCUACUUAGUGGGCUCGGUGUCUUCUACCGCAUGUGAGAGACAAGAAGGUUAGGCUAGAAGGGAGAUGCAAGUCAACGCCUGAAGCAUUAGGCAUUACAGAUAUGAUUCUUCUUUCAGUAAGGUAUACAUUAAAAACUAUUGCGUUUGGAUUGAUUCUUCCGGGAUAGCUGCUUAGUUUUGAAGUGGUUUGUUUUUAUGCAGUGUGUACAUUAAUAGUUCCAUAUUUCAAAAGCAUAGUAUGACUUCACUUAGGGUAGCCAGUACGGCGGAUGAAUAAAUUUUGUAUCCUCUCCCACACUCCUUGCGGUUGCUCGGUUUGACACCCUUUAAACAGGUAAUGGAUUGUCCAUUACUGUAACUCUAAGAUUUUCUGAAUCUUUGACAGGUUGCAGUUCGCAAUUCCUAUAUACUUCCAUAUUUUGUUGUGAUUGCAAAUUUUUGAGAUGGCGAAGAAUUAUUACAGUUCAAAAGGAUCCACUUAUUUAACAACAAACAUGAGAAGGUCGACCAUAGUCCGUAGAAUAAAAGAUAAGUUACAAAAUACAUUUGACUUAUAAGAAUAGAGAAACAUGACAUGUCAUGUAAUUCAACUGACCUACUCUUUAGACCUGAAUAUGUUCAAGAAAUAUUACAAGGAUGUUGUACAGCUUGGGAGGAAGAGGAGAGCAAGAUACAAUAUAGUUAAGUUUAACUUUGAUAUAUUAUAGUUUAAAUAAGAAGAUGGUUUUCUAAAACAUAUUUUUACUCUUUGGUCACUGAAAAUAAAGAAAAGGCCGAUUUGAUUUUAUGCAUUGUAACAGUUUGAGUAAACCCAUAUGGUCAAGUGUCGUCUUGGAAGGAAAGCUAGGGUUUUCUUCAUCGCUUAAGACAGAUCUCAAGGAGGUUUUAUUAAAGAAUAAAAUAUGUAUUUAUAUCCUUACGAUUAACUAAUAUAGACGUACAAUUUGGAAUUAAAGGGUGAGUUUAGGGGAUGAGAUUUCAAAUUAAAAAAUAAAUAUUAUAAAUUUCAAAAUUAAAAAGGACCAUUUUGGUCAUUUUAUUUCUACAACUAUUUUUGUGAUAAAAACUUUAAAAAAAAACUAUUUACAAGAAUUGCCCAAAUAAUAAUAUUACAUAAUUUUUAAAAAUAAUCAUUAAAAUGAAAAAUACUAUUACAAAUCAUUGAAAAUGAAAGCAAAUGAAAAUUCAAAAUACAAAGCCAAUACUUUCGUGUAUUUAUGGCAAAAAAUUACUUCACUUCAAGUCCACUAAAGCCCAAAUACUACAAACUAGGUUAAGGUAGCAAGCAACAUAAAGUAGCUUGUUGAUACUGCGAUAGCUGAUGCAGCUGAAUCAACAAAAAAUUAAUUACAUUUUUUGAAUUUUUAUUUGUUUAAAAUUAUAGGAAAUAGAUAAUCACAGAAAAUUAUGCAUUUAAUAUUAAAAUUAAGUACUCCCUCCGUUACUUAAUGAUAGACUUUUUAGGAAAAAAGUUUGUUUCAAAAAGAUGUAUUUUUUGUGUUUUCUAUGAAAAAAUUGUAAACUUCAAGAAAAUUAAUUGAUUUUAUUGAAUUACUAUUAGUUAAAAGUUAUCGAAAAUUGAAAAUUACAGAAAACAAUAUAUUUAUUAUGGUAGUUUAAUGUGUGAAUAUACUAAAAAAUCUAUCGUUUAGGAACGGAGGAGUAUGUUCUAUUAAUUUGUGUGAAUAAACUAAAACAUGUAUAUUUUUGAAUUGGAUGGAAUAUCGUUUAUGUAUUUCUUAUCACCCCUUUCGUCCACCUAAACAGUUAAAAUCCAGAGUAUCAAGACAGCGAAGAACAUUUCUGCAUCGGUACCAAUCACAUAUUACUGUAUAACACAAUGACAACACCAACAAAAUACACGUGCGAAAAAUACUACUGAUAAAGUUAACAAAAAAAAAAAUACACUACGACAAAACAGCAUCACCACAGCAAAAUCACACGCAACAAAUAGCGCGCAAGCACGGACACGCCCUUAAUACAUAAAGUCUAAGCUCUUUUUUUUUAACACAAAGUCAAAGCUCUAAUCUAAAGAACACCUGCAAUGGUGUUAACCAAAGAAAAUUCUUUAAAAAAAGUGUAUUUUGAUUUUUUAAGUAUUUUUUUUUCUUUUUCAGAUAAAAAAAAAUAUAUCUAUCAACCAAUCGCGUAUCGCCCCGUGUCGUGGGGGUCUGCAAAUAGUGCAAAGAUUCGCUAAGAAAGAAUCUUUAUUUAUGAAUUUUAAUGAUUGAAUCCUUAGCUUUUGGUGGAGUCCAUUGAUUAUUUAAUUAUUUUUUUCCUAAGGACUCCCAAGACUCCCAUUGGACUCUCUAAACACAUAAAAAGACAUCUUGGAGAUCAAGGAAAUAUUAUCCUGCUUACGCAUAAAUAUCAUUGCCUACUUCUUUCUUUGAAAAUUUGUAAUCACUGAAAGAUAUUUUGUUUUUUUAAUAAAAAGUGUUAUUUUGAAAAAAAAAACUUUUAUAUAAGUUAUCAUUUUAAAUUUUAGCGAAAUUUAUACUUACUUUUAAUUUAAUAUCAAUUACAAAAUACAUUGAUCUUAUAAAUAAUUUUAUUUAUUUCAAAUAAAUUUUACGAAACAGAUGAAGUAGAAUAACUGGAGUUAUUUAACUUCAAACUAAUUACUCAUAUGGAAAAAGUCAACUUGCAAAGUAACAUUACAAUUAAUUACCCCUUGCUAUUCUAGCAGAAUCUGGACAAAAAAAAUAGAAAAAUAGAGAAAGUUGAAGAAAGAUUGACGAAAAUAUAGAAAGAAAAGGAGAAAAAAGUUUUCAUUUGAAAAACACAACCAAAAAAAAAAAAGAAAUAUUUUUACAGUAUCUGUCAGUUCAAUUUUUUUUAUGAUUUAAAAUUUUACUAUGAUCAAAUUAUGGACAAUUCUAAUAAAUAGAGCACAAAAAAUACUUAUUUUAUCACAAAAUAACAUUUUUUUAUCUAUUAAAUAGUUUGGUGGUUCUCUUACAAGUGGACAUACUCUAACAGAGAUGCGUUACGAUCGUGAGUCAUACAUAUGACGAUACGAUCAUGAGUCAUACAUAUGGCGAUAUGAAUAUUCCUGGUAAUCACCAAAGUCUUGGUCUUUUGUGUCCUACAAAACUAAAUGACAGAAACAAAGACUUCGGGGAUGCAAAACAAGUUGGUACAUUGAUUUGGUCUAUAGUUAAAUAAUAGUAUUAAGAGAUUGGGUCAAUGAAAACAAGCCAAAAGAGCAUCUCAAGACUGGAGGUUGGAGGAAACUUGCAGAGAGACAAAUUUUGAGAGAUAAAGAGAAGAGAGGUCGAAGAUGAAGGUGCAGCGUCUGAUCUUGGUGGCUGUUUUCUUCUACCUUGCAUGUACGGAGUUGGUCAACGGGCAACCUCGCAAGGAUUGCCAAACUAGAUGUGGCAACGUCACAAUUGAGUACCCUUUCGGCACUUCUCAAGGUUGUUACUAUGCUGACGACCCUAGUUUCAAUCUCACAUGUAACGAUAAAGAGAAGCUAUUCUUUCGAAAUAAUAUUGAAGUAAUCAACAUUUCUCAUAGCGGGGAGCUACGCGUCAUGACUAAUACUUCCUACGCUUGCUACGAUAGACAAGGAAAUUCGAAUGGUAGUCGUUACUACACUUACAGGCUGGGUAGUUUAUCUCUCUCCCACAAAAACAAGUUUAAUGUAGUAGGCUGUAACGCUGUAGCACUUCUGAGCACUUUUGGACCGCAAAAUUACUCAACUGGAUGUUUGUCAGCGUGUAACUUUCCACCGGUGGCAAAUGGAGACUGUAAUGGCGCAGGUUGCUGCAGGACAGAUGUCUCUGACCCGUAUGAUAGCUAUUCAUUCCAAACUCGCUCAUCUCGUUUGCAGAACAUGACUUCUGUGUAUGACUUUAAUCCUUGCACAUAUGCCUUUCUCGCUGAAAAUGGUACUUUUCACUUUGAUGCUUUGGAAGAUCUUAAGAACCUACGGAAUGUCAAUGAGUUCCCUCUGGUACUGGACUGGUCUAUCGGAAACCAGACAUGCGAGCAAGUUGGAAACAGAAGCAUAUGUGGUAUGUUUAACAGCACAUGUUUCAAUUCUACUCGUGGAACCGGGUAUAACUGCAAAUGUUUAGAUGGUUUUGAAGGAAAUCCUUACCUUUCAAAUGAACAUGGUUGCCAAGGUACACUUCAAAUUGGUCUUAUCUUAAUACUACUUUCUUUUUUUGAGAGUUCAUUGUUUUCCUGAUACAUCUCUUAUGCCUUUUCCCUUGUGCCAGACAUCAAUGAGUGUACUACUAAUAGUACUAUCCAUAAACAUAACUGCUCGGAUCCCAGCACCUGUAGAGACAAGGUUGGAGGCUUCGAUUGUAAGUGCCAGUCUGGUUACCGCUUAGAUACAACCACUAUGAAAUGCAAGCAUAAAGACUUUGGAUGGGCUACUAUUCUUCUUGGUAAGCAUCCUUCUGGACUUAUUGUUUCCCAGAUGUAAUCAUCUUUGUGUGUCUAAUCAUCUAUGUGUGAUGUGAUCAGGAACAACCAUCGGCUUCUUGUCCAUCCUGCUUAUCAUUAGCUGUGUACAACAGAGAAUGAAGCGCCGGAAGGCAGCUGAGCUCCGACAAAAAUUCUUCGAACAAAAUGGUGGCGGCAUGUUAGUACAGAGACUCUCAGGACCAGGGACAUCAAAUGCUAAUGUAAAAAUCUUUACGGAAGAAGGCAUGAAGACAUCAACCAAUGGCUACGACAAGAGCAGAAUCCUUGGCCAGGGAGGACAAGGAACCGUCUACAAAGGGAUAUUACCAGACAACUCCAUAGUUGCUAUAAAGAAAGCUCGGCUCGGAGACAACAGCCAAGUAGAGCAGUUCAUCAACGAGGUGCUAGUGCUUUCCCAAAUCAACCACAGGAACGUGGUCAAGCUCCUAGGAUGUUGUCUGGAGACAGAAGUUCCCUUGCUGGUCUAUGAGUUCAUUAACAGCGGCACCCUUUUCGAUCACUUGCAUGGUUCCUUGUUUGGUCCUUCUCUAACAUGGGAACAACGCCUGAGAAUAGCAGUGGAAAUUGCUGGAACUCUUGCUUAUCUUCACUCAUCUGCUUCUAUUCCAAUCAUCCACCGAGACGUCAAGACUGCUAAUAUUCUCCUGGAUGAGAACUUAACUGCAAAGGUAGCUGACUUUGGGGCUUCAAGACUAAUACCGAUGGAUAAAGAGCAGCUCACUACCAUGGUCCAAGGUACUAUAGGCUACUUAGACCCAGAAUAUUACCAUACAGGACUGUUAAACGAAAAGAGUGAUGUUUAUAGCUUUGGGGUAGUUGUCAUGGAACUUCUCACUGGCCAAAAGGCAUUGUGCUUCGAAAGGCCACAACAGUCAAAACAUCUUGUGAACUACAUUUCGUCUGCCAUGAAAGAGAACAGGUUGCACGAGGUUAUAGAUGCGAAAAUAAUCAACGAGAAUAGCUGGAAGGAGAUCAAUGAAGCUGUCAGAGUUGCUAUGGAGUGUACAAGAGUGACAGGAGAGGAAAGGCCACUGAUGACGGAAGUAGCUGCAAAGCUUGAGGGCUUGAGAGUCACAAAAGCCAAACAUCAGUGGUCAGAUCAGUAUCCUGGGGACGAGACUGAGAACUUGGUCGGUGUUGGAGUCUUAUCAGCGCAAGGCGAUACAAGUAGCACUGGCUAUGACAGCAUCAAGAAUGUAGCAAGCAUGCAAGUUGCAGCUGGUCGCUGAUAUCUAUUACUCAAGCCCCUGUCUCAAUCACGUUGAGUCUUUUUUUUUUUAAUGAAAAAAUAAUAUCAUUUCUAUAUAGUUUCUCACCUCUUUUGGCUCACUUAAACAGUUUAAAACUAGAGUAUCAAGACAAUAAUGAAGAACAUGUAUGCAUUGAGAUAUUCUUACUAGACAGACCAUCAGUACUUAUUUUACAGUGUCUAAGUUGAGAUUCCAAUAAACUCAACUCCUGGACUUUUGUGUCUAUUCAUACAUCUCUAUAGCUUUGAGUGAGUGCUACUAAGGAUCUGAAUAUUAGGCUCUAGAGAAAACAAUAAGUUACUAUUUUGGUUGAUUUGCCUCAAAAGUAUCUCAACUCAUCACCUCCUUUCUUCACGUUGCCCCUGGUCUUAGACCUGGGUUUCUGGAAAACUGGAUUUGCAAACUCUUGGAAUCAGGAUCCUCUUCAUCCAUUCGAUAGCCUGUCAAAUGCACAGUGGAAUCAGUUAAUUAUGAGGUCGAGUGUCUUUCUUAAGGAAACCACAGCAUGUUGAAUGAAGAUAAGAGUAUAUUACAAGAAACAAUGCACCAUAAACUCAAUAUGUAUAAGACCUCAUAAUUCCAAAUAUUUAGGAAACAGGGAGAAUCUUAGUUACCUUGCAGGGCAUUUGAGUCUCGAAGCUCUAUUUUCUUGAAGGAGACUAAUGUGCUGAUUGGCCAUCACAGCUCCAUUGUCUGGUCGCUUGGUCACCAAUGGAGGGCUGAUCGAUCUCUAUAUUGUAGGUUUGGGCGAGCGGCUCAGGAUGUGACUAUCAUCGCUCCCUGUCUUCUUGCAUCUGCUCGCACUAUGUUCUGGAGCCAAGCAUAAGUGUGACUUUGGUGGUCCUGGAACGUCAAGCCAGAUUGGCGCUCUAGUGUGCUUGAUACAAGUAGAGGUUCUUAGCUCGGGUCUCAAGCUCCUUUACCAGUGGUAGUUGGCGGCUUGAUUCCUUCAGCCGGUCUAUGCAAAGCUGUGUGUGGUCGGUGUCAAUCUUUUGGAGUAGCGUUAUGGGCAAGCCGAUUUCUACCGAGCGUGGUCUCAUAUUUUAUCAAAAGCUCUGAACCCAUUCGGCAAUGCUGUAGUAUCGAUCGGCCAGGCUAUACUUUUGCUAGUAUCUUUUGUGCUUGUGUUUAAAUGUUAAUGUUAUGUCUUCUGAUCUUCCAAUGUUGUUUCUUCUUUCUUCUUGGUGUUUAGGUUUUUGGUCAUUUUUGCUUCUAGUAUUCUUUGUAACUGCUAUCAAAAACUUAAAACUUUGAUAUAAAUUUAACAUUUACAUCAAAAGAAAAAAAAAAAUCAUGCACGACUCAUGUAGAAUAAAGAUAAGGUCGUCUUGACUUAUUAUGUAACUCCGAUCUACUAGAGUUAGAAUUAAAGAAUUACUAGACCUUGACCCGCGCGAGUGUUUAUUUUUAUUUUUUAUAAAUAAAUAUUUAUUUGUAUAAGUAAUAGUAUAUAGUUUUAUAAUUUACAUGUAUUAAAUAAUUAUUAAUAUUAAAUUUCUAAAUACAAUAAUUUAUCCUUUAUAUUGAGUAAUUUAUUUUGUUUUACAAACCGUCAAUUGUAUUAUCCACAUUUUUAUGGAUCAAAAUUUAUAAUAAUGUAUAUUAGAAUUUUUUUUGUAUAUUAUUUAAAAUCUUGUGCUAUAUAUUUUAUAUUCUUCAACAUUUAUCAAUUUACAUUUGGCUAUUAUUUAUAAGAAAAUAUAUGUAAAAUACCACAUAUAUAUAUAUAUAUGUUAAUUUAUAUUUUAUUUAUAUAUUAUAUAAAUAAUUCUUUUUAAAUUUAGGUAUUUUAUGGUUGUUUAAUUUUCUAAAACGAUAAUAAAUACUAAAUGUUAAAAUUAUGUAGUUUCUUAGUGACAUUAAAUGUAAUUAAAUAAUUGUUUUAGCUUAGGAUCAAUUAAAGAAAUUAUUUAUUAAAUUAGAAAAAGAUAAAACAUAUUUAAAUAUAGGUUCAAUAAUUAUUUAGUGGCAUUCUAAAGUAAAUAAGUUGCAAAACUAAUGGGCAUUUCUAUUUUGUAUUUCUCUUUUAAUAAUAUAUAUAGAUAUAGAUGAUACCAUGUUAAAUGUUACGGGAUGAACACUAUUUGCAUAAUUAUCAUUGAGUUAAAGCUCUCUAAUCACAUGAAAAUACAUAAAGACAUCAUGGAGAUCUAGGAUCGGAGCAUCUCCUUCAUUAUAAAUUUGUAAUUGGUAUAAGAUAGUAAUUAGAGUUAUUUAACUUUUUUUUUACAUCUAUUAGAGUUAUUUAACUUGAAAUUAAUUACUCAUAGUAUCUAAAUGUGAUAUUUCCAUAAUGAGGAAAAAGGCAACUAGCAAAGUAACACUAGAACUUUCAACAGAAAACAACGUAUUAUAGUAUAAAAGCAAGCAAUUACAUUGCAAGUUGUUACCAAAGUAUCUAUCUUAUUAUAAAAAUUUUGGUUCUUCAAAGUUGCUAAUUAACAUGACGGUGACACAUGUCAAUUAAAAAUUUAAGAUGAUGACAUGUGUUAAAAUCUAUCAUAAUUAAUAAUAUCUUAUUAUAUAAAGCUUGGUUUUUCAAAGUUGUUAAUUAACAUGACGAUGACACAUGUCAAUUAAAAAUUUAAGAUGAUGACAUGUGUUAAAAUCUAUCAUAAUUAAGAAUAUAAAUAUAAAAAGAGAAUAACACAAAAGAAUUAUUUAAUAGUAAUUUUCGUUUUUUAAAUACUAAACAAAAAUAAUAAUAGAAAAAAAAUUAUUUGAUGGUUUUUAGUUGACAAUAAUUUUCUUUUUCUAAUUUUUUUUUUCUUUUUACAAUUCCUAAACAAAAAAUAUGUAUAAUAAUUUACUUAAUACUAAUUUUUGUUUUGUAAAAUCGUUUUUUAAAAAUACUAAAUAAAGAUAACAGCAAAAGAUUAUUUGAUAGUUUUUUUAGUUGACAAUAAUUUCAUUUUUAUAAUUUUUUUCAUUUUCACAAUUCCUAAAAGAAAAUAUGUAUAAUAAUUUACUUAAUACUAAUUUUCGUUUUCUAAAAUAAAAAAAUAUAAUUGUAAAAAAGAAAAAAAAUUUAUAAAAAUGAAAUUAUUGUCAACUAAAAAACUAUCAAAUAAUCUUUUGCAGUUAUCUUUAUUUAGUGUUUUAUUAUAUAAAGUUUGUUUCUUCAAAGUUGUUAAUUAACAUGAUCGCGACACAUAACAAUUAUAUAUUUAAGAUUGUGACAUGUGUUAAUCUAUCUCAUAAUUAAAAAUAGAUAUACUAAGAUAUUAACAAAAACGAAUUUUAUCAUAAAUAUUAUUAUAUAUAUUAUUUAAUUGUAAUUUUCUUUUUUUUUAAAUCCUAAUCAAAAGAUAAUUGGAAAAUAUUAUUUGAUAAUAAUUAUCCUUCUAAUAUUGCGACAUGUGUUUAAAUAUAUUAAAGGUUAAAAAUAUAUAUAAGAUAAUAAGAACAAAUUUUGAAUAAACUACUUUUAAAAAUUAUUUAGUAGUAAAAAUGAUUUUUUAAAAAUAUUUAGUAGUAAUGUUUUUAGAAAUUUCUUUUUUCAAAAUCCAAAGAAAUAGAUCUGAAAACAAUUUAUUUAAUAUAAUUUUUAUUUUCUAAAAUUUUAAUGAAAAUAUAAUUAUAAAAUAUUAUAUUGAGCUUGGUUCUUCAAAAUUAGUAAUUAACAUGAUUGUGACACAUGGUAGUUAUAUAUUUAAAAAUGUGACAUAUGUUAAACUAUAUCACAAUCAAAAAUAUAUAUACUAAAAUAAUAAAAACGAUUUUUCUUAAAAAUUAAUUAUAAAUAUUAUUUAAGAGUCUUAUUAUUAUUACUUUUAUUAUUGUUAUUAUUAUUUUUCAUUAUAAUGUUUGUUUUAAAAGAUAGUAAAGAUAGAUAAUUAUAAAAGAUUAACAUUCACUUUUAAGAAAAAAAUAUUAAACAAAAACGAAUUGUAAAAUCCUACAAGUACAAUAAAUUAUUAAUAUGAAGAAAAAACUAACUUUAAAAUAAUUAAUAUUACUUUUUCAAAAACAAAAUUAAAAAAAAUUGUAAAAGUACUUUUAUUAUUUUAUUAUAAGCAAAUAACUUUCCUUUUUAAUAGAUAAUUGUAUGUCAAACAAUUAUGACCAAAAAUAACUAUAAAUAUUUCACAUCUAUAUUUAGGUUUAAGCUUCCACAUAUUAUUUUUACGAAACACAAUAGUAUUUACAUGAAAAGUAUUACUUAUUAUUAUCUUUAUUACAUCUUAUGAUGCUAGCAUAACUUUUAAUUUUGUUAUUAUUGUCGUACAUGGGUAUCUGUGCAUAUAAUUAAUAUGUGUGUGUAUGUAUAAGACAAAAUAUAUAAAUAAUUAAACACAAUUUUUCUAUUAAAAAUAAAAUAUUUGUAUAAAAAUUUUAACGAAAUAAAAUAAUUAAUUUUCUUUUAAAAAGUCUAAAUAAAAUUAAAAAGUGAAUUUAAUCUUAUUUUUCUUAUAAUUAACUAAUUUUACUUUUUAAUAAUUUUGUGUUAAAAAAUAUAAACCAAAAUUAACUUCAAAUAUUUCACGUGAUAUAAUUGUGAUAAGUGUCAAUUAAAAAAUUAGAUUGUGAACGUGUCAGUAAACCUCCAUUAUGUCAAAAUAACUUCUUCUUUUCCUAAAAUCUUAAAUAAAAGAGAUUUCUAAAAGAAAUUUUUUUUCUAAACUUAACCAAUUAAGAAUUUUUUUUUUUUUUUAAAUCGUGAUUAGAGAGAAUUGUAAAAUUUUAUUUAAUAGUAAUUUUUACUUCAAAGAUUUAAUGAUAAACAUGAAACUAACAAUUAUUCAAUUUUGUUACAAAAAAAAAAAAAAAGCAAUUAUUCAAUUUACAAGAAAAAUUGUAAAAAUAUUAAUGAUAUUGAAUUUUUUUUUUUUUUUGAAAAUUGCAACUUUUAAAUAUAGUUAAUAUUAACUGAAAAUAGUUAUUUGAUAGAAUUGUUUUUUUUAAAUCCUAGAUAAAAUAUAAUAGUAAAAGAUUAUGUAAUAUUAAUUUCCUUUUUUAAAAUCUUACAAAACUGUAAAAGAAUAUUGAUAUUUGUUUUCCUUUUAUAUAAAAAAAAAAUCAUAAACAAAAAAAAAAUUGUAUAAUAUUUUUUUAAGUCCUAACCAAAAAAUAAUUGUAAAACGUUAUUUGAUAUUAUGUUUAAGAGAGUGUUUGAUGAUGAACAUGAUACUAAAAUUAUUUAAUUAUCAAAAGAAGUGUAAAAUUAGUAUUGAUACGAAUUGUAAAAUAGCAAUUUUAAAAAUAUUUAUUAAUAACUAAAAAUAAUUAUUUGAUAGCAAUAUAGUUUUUUUAUGAAAUUUUAAAUACAAAAUAAUUGUAAUAGGUUAUAUGACAGUAAUUUAUCUUUUCUAAAAUUUUAAACAAAAUUGUAAAAGAGUAUUUAAUAUUUUUUUCUUAUUUUUUAAUUGUAAAGAAAAAGAAGAUUUAUAAAAUAGAAUGUUUUAUUUUUUUAAAAAUCCUAGCAAAAUAAAAUUUUAAAGACUUAUUUAGUAAAACAUUAAAUUAAUACAUAAGAACAUGUAUAAUGUUGUCAUUGAUUUGAUUGGUGCAUUUAACUUUCAUUUCGUUUUUACUUUUCAUUUCUUAUUUCAGAUUGUAUUCAGUUUAAAUGUUUAUAUAUAGUAUUUUCUCUAAUCCUUAGUAUAAAGUUUUAACAACUCAUCUAUGGAUCAUGAUUAUAAAAUACAAAUAUUAACUUGAACUUAUGUGUGAAAAUAUUUUAAUUAUAAAAUAAAUCUCAAACAACAUAUGCAAAAAACAAUUAUAAUACUAUAAUAAAAUGAUUUAUUAUUUUAUGGUUCUUAUUAAAUUAAAACAUCAAACAAAAACUCGUUGCAACGCAACGGGCUCAUAUCUUGUUAAUAAUAAACUAGGGAAAAAAAUAGGAAGCGAAAGAAAUUGAUUUUUAUUGGGGCAACUUGACAAAUACUUUAGAAUAUGUGUCAACCUGUGAUUAGUUUAAUUUUUUUGAUAAAAAAAAUGAAUAAAUAGGAAGAGAAGGAAAUUAAUUUUUAUUGGGCCAACUUGAAAAAUACUUUAGAAUAUGUGUCAACAUGUGAUUAGUUUAAUAUUUUAUAUAUAAUUUAAAAUUUAACUAGUGCUACAAUUAGAUUAAACUAUUAGUAUUUUUGUCCAAGUACGUAGAUAAUAAUAGAACUAGGGAAAAAGUGAAGAAAAAAUAGGAAGAAAAAGAAAUGAAGUUUUAUUUGAGAAACCUAAAAAAGAGAAAAUUGAAUACUUUUACAAUAUGUAUCAACCUAUGAUUAGUUAUUUAAAUCAUUGAAACUUUAACUAAUAAUAGAGUUAUAUUAAACUAUUAGUAUUUUUGCCUAUGAGAUAUUUUGGUAGGUCUCUUAGCAGUGGACGUGCAAUAAUAGAGAACGUCUUGGUCUUUGUGUCCUACAAAACCAAAUGACAAAAACAAAGACGUUGUGAUGCUAAAUGAGUUGGUACAUUGACUUAGUCUAUAGUUAAAUAAUACUAGUAUAGAGGUUGGGCAGUCAAGAGAACAUCUCAACACUAGAGUUUGGAGGAAGAUAAACAAAUUUAGAGAGAGGUCGAAGAUGAAGGUGCAGCAUCUGAUCUUGGUGGCUACUUUCUUCUACCAUGCAUAUACGGAGCUGGUCAAUGGGCAACCUCGCAAGGACUGCCAAACUAGUUGUGGCCACGUCACAAUUGAGUACCCUUUUGGCACUUCUCCAGGUUGUUACUAUGCCGACGAUCCUAGUUUCAAUAUCACCUGUAACGAGAGAGAAGAGUUGAUCUUUGGUGGUAACAAAGUAAUCAACAUUUCUCACACGGAG